Molecule: ribosomal RNA, 305 nt
Filed under: uncultured bacterium
Lineage: Bacteria
Description: bacterial SSU rRNA
Rfam family: Bacterial small subunit ribosomal RNA
Source: RNAcentral
UGCCUACGGGACGCAGCAGUAGGGAAUCUUCCACAAUGGACGAAAGUCUGAUGGAGCAACGCCGCGUGCAGGAAGAAGGUCUUCGGAUUGUAAACUGUUGUCGCAGGGGAAGAAGACAGUGACGGUACCCUGUGAGAAAGUCACGGCUAACUACGUGCCAGCAGCCGCGGUAAUACGUAGGUGACAAGCGUUGUCCGGAUUUACUGGGUGUAAAGGGCGCGUAGGCGGGAUAGCAAGUCAGUCGUGAAAUGCCGAGGCUUAACCUCGGAGCUGCGAUUGAAACUGUUAUUCUUGAGUAUCGGAGG